UAUGUAGGCGGCGCUGUUAGUCGGGUGUGAAAUCCCUCGGCUCAACCGAGGAAUUGCGCCCGAUACUGCAGUGCUUGAGGGAGACAGAGGUAAGCGGAACUGAUGGUGGAGCGGUGAAAUGCGUUGAUAUCAUCAGGAACACCGGUGGCGAAAGCGGCUUACUGGGUCUCCUCUGACGCUGAGAUACGAAAGCUAGGGUAGCGAAGG
This 207-nucleotide ribosomal RNA is filed under the name uncultured bacterium. RNAcentral's name for it is "partial 16S ribosomal RNA". It matches the Rfam family "Bacterial small subunit ribosomal RNA", at positions 568 to 774 of the family's 1533-position model. The record is from RNAcentral.